RNAcentral lists this non-coding RNA (29 nucleotides) under Mus musculus (house mouse). Lineage: Eukaryota; Metazoa; Chordata; Mammalia; Rodentia; Muridae. The record is from RNAcentral.
UCUGCUCGCAUCACCCUUUGCAGUCUGUA